This 254-nucleotide ribosomal RNA is filed under the name uncultured bacterium. Its description in RNAcentral is "partial 16S ribosomal RNA". It matches the Rfam family "Bacterial small subunit ribosomal RNA", at positions 527 to 779 of the family's 1533-position model. The record is from RNAcentral.
CGGAGGGGCUAGCGUUGUUCGGAAUUACUGGGGCGUAAAGCGUACGUAGGCGGCUUUGUAAGUUAGAGGUGAAAGCCCAGAGCUCAACUCUGGAAUUGCCUUUAAGACUGCAUCGCUUGAAUCGUGGAGAGGUUAGUGGAAUUCCGAGUGUAGAGGUGAAAUUCGUAGAUAUUCGGAAGAACACCAGUGGCGAAGGCGACUAACUGGACACGUAUUGACGCUGAGGUACGAAAGCGUGGGGAGCAAACAGGAUU